CCUACGGGGGGCAGCAGUGGGGGAUAUUGCACAAUGGGGGAAACCCUGAUGCAGCGACGCCGCGUGAGUGAAGAAGUAUUUCGGUAUGUAAAGCUCUAUCAGCAGGGAAGAAAAUGACAGUACCUGACCAAGAAGCCCCGGCUAACUACGUGCCAGCAGCCGCGGUAAUACGUAGGGGGCAAGCGUUAUCCGGAUUUACUGGGGGGAAAGGGAGCGUAGACGGUUAUGUAAGUCUGGAGUGAAAGCCCGGGGCCCAACCCCGGGACCGCUUUGGAAACUGUGUAACUUGAGUACAGGAGGGGCAGGCGGAAGUCCUGGUGUAGCGAUGAAAUGCGUCGAUAUCAGGAGGAACACCGGCGGCGAAGGCGGCCUGCUGGACUGAAACUGACGUUGAGGCUCGAAAGCGUGGGGAGCAAACAGGAUUAGAUACCCCAGUAGUC
RNAcentral lists this ribosomal RNA (440 nucleotides) under uncultured bacterium. Its description in RNAcentral is "partial 16S ribosomal RNA". It matches the Rfam family "Bacterial small subunit ribosomal RNA", at positions 338 to 795 of the family's 1533-position model. The record is from RNAcentral.